Molecule: long non-coding RNA, 701 nt
Filed under: Mytilus galloprovincialis (Mediterranean mussel)
Lineage: Eukaryota; Metazoa; Mollusca; Bivalvia; Mytilida; Mytilidae
Source: RNAcentral
GUAUGAUUGCCAAUGAGACAACUUUCCACCAAAGUUCAUAUUAAGUAGAUGUUAGCAAUAAGAGGUAACGGUACGACCUUCAACAAUGACAAAAGCCGAUACCUUAAAGUCGAUUAUGAAAGGCCAAGACAUAAAUAAAAAGUGAAACAAAUAAAUUGAGAAAAAUAACGGCAUAAUUCACAAAUCAAUUGGGAAAAACAAAAAUUAAUGACAUGAACCAUUACAACCACUAAAUUGCAGGUUCUAUACAAAAGACAGGCGCAUACAUAAUGUGGCGGGUUUAAACAUGUUUGUGAGCGCUCAACCUUCUAACAUAUGAACAAACUAUAGAAGCCAGUUGAAAAUGGCUUGUCUCAUCAGAUCGAUACAAACAGAAAAAAAACUAACUAAAACAUAGACCGGACGUGACAGAGUAUUUAUACAUCUCUUACAACAAAAUAUAAAAAAGUAGAGACCUAAGACUAUAUAUAUUGAUGUUUCAACUCAUGAUGGGGUUCAACUUGAUUUCUUAGACUUAGCCUUUUGAAUAUAUGUUUAGGCUACAACAGUGAACUAAUGGAAGAAAUAAAUGUCUAAAAAAACCGAAUGAUAUAAACAUACAACAAAAGUGCCUAACUAUAUAAGUUUAACAUAGAAAAGUAUACGACGUAUAAUUGAUUUUAAGACCGAGAAAUAUUUUCCAGUUAACAAACAUAUAUACA